Molecule: ribosomal RNA, 301 nt
Filed under: uncultured bacterium
Lineage: Bacteria
Description: partial 16S ribosomal RNA
Rfam family: Bacterial small subunit ribosomal RNA
Source: RNAcentral
CAGCAGCCGCGGGAAUACGAAGGGUGCAAGCGUUACUCGGAAUUACUGGGGGUAAAGCGUGCGUAGGUGGUGGUUUAAGUCCGUUGUGAAAGCCCUGGGCUCAACCUGGGAAUUGCAGUGGAUACUGGGUCACUAGAGUGUGGUAGAGGAUAGUGGAAUUUCCGGUGUAGCAGUGAAAUGCGUAGAGAUCGGAAGGAACAUCUGUGGCGAAGGCGACUAUCUGGGCCAACACUGACACUGAGGCACGAAAGCGUGGGGAGCAAACAGGAUUAGAUACCCCCGUAGUCCCUGUCUCUUAUAC